UGGGGAAUAUUGCACAAUGGGGGAAACCCUGAUGCAGCGACGCCGCGUGAGCGAAGAAGUAUUUCGGUAUGUAAAGCUCUAUCAGCAGGGAAGAAAAUGACGGUACCUGACUAAGAAGCCCCGGCUAACUACGUGCCAGCAGCCGCGGUAAUACGUAGGGGGCAAGCGUUAUCCGGAUUUACUGGGUGUAAAGGGAGCGUAGACGGUGUGGCAAGUCUGAUGUGAAAGGCAUGGGCUCAACCUGUGGACUGCAUUGGAAACUGUCAUACUUGAGUGCCGGAGGGGUAAGCGGAAUUCCUAGUGUAGCGGUGAAAUGCGUAGAUAUUGGGAGGAACACCAGUGGCGAAGGCGGCUUACUGGACGAUGACUGACGUUGAGGCUCGAAAGCGUGGGGAGCAAACAGG
RNAcentral lists this ribosomal RNA (404 nucleotides) under Blautia sp. Its description in RNAcentral is "bacterial SSU rRNA". It matches the Rfam family "Bacterial small subunit ribosomal RNA", at positions 355 to 776 of the family's 1533-position model. Lineage: Bacteria; Bacillati; Bacillota; Clostridia; Lachnospirales; Lachnospiraceae. The record is from RNAcentral.